RNAcentral lists this transfer RNA (73 nucleotides) under Cellulophaga phage phi17:2. It matches the Rfam family "tRNA". Rfam says of the family: Transfer RNA (tRNA) molecules are approximately 80 nucleotides in length. Lineage: Duplodnaviria; Heunggongvirae; Uroviricota; Caudoviricetes. RNAcentral also lists the same sequence under 4 other names. The record is from Rfam by way of RNAcentral.
GGGGGAUUAGUUUAACUGGAAAAACUAUAGGCUUCUAUCCUAUCGAGUAGGGGUUCGAAUCCCUUAUCCCCUU